Molecule: ribosomal RNA, 253 nt
Filed under: uncultured bacterium
Lineage: Bacteria
Description: partial 16S ribosomal RNA
Rfam family: Bacterial small subunit ribosomal RNA
Source: RNAcentral
UACGUAGGGUGCGAGCGUUAAUCGGAAUUACUGGGCGUAAAGGGCGCGUAGGCGGCCUGCUAAGUCGAACGUGAAAUCCCCGAGCUCAACUCGGGAACUGCGUCCGAUACUGGCAGGCUUGAAUCCGGGAGAGGGAUGCGGAAUUCCAGGUGUAGCGGUGAAAUGCGUAGAUAUCUGGAGGAACACCGGUGGCGAAGGCGGCAUCCUGGACCGGCAUUGACGCUGAGGCGCGAAAGCCAGGGGAGCAAACGGG